Molecule: ribosomal RNA, 468 nt
Filed under: uncultured bacterium
Lineage: Bacteria
Description: partial 16S ribosomal RNA
Rfam family: Bacterial small subunit ribosomal RNA
Source: RNAcentral
GACGAACGCUGGCGGCGUGCUUAACACAUGCAAGUCGAACGGAAAGGCCCUGCUUUUGUGGGGUGCUCGAGUGGCGAACGGGUGAGUAACACGUGAGUAACCUGCCCUUGACUUUGGGAUAACUUCAGGAAACUGGGGCUAAUACCGGAUAGGAGCUCCUGCUGCAUGGUGGGGGUUGGAAAGUUUCGGCGGUUGGGGAUGGACUCGCGGCUUAUCAGCUUGUUGGUGGGGUAGUGGCUUACCAAGGCUUUGACGGGUAGCCGGCCUGAGAGGGUGACCGGCCACAUUGGGACUGAGAUACGGCGCAGACUCCUACGGGAGGCAGCAGGGGGGAAUAUUGCGCAAUGGGCGGAAGCCUGAUGCAGCAACGCCGCGUGCGGGAUGACGGCCUUCGGGUUGUAAACCGCUUUCGCCUGUGACGAAGCGUGAGUGACGGUAAUGGGUAAAGAAGCACCGGCUAACUACGUG